Non-coding RNA from Pelobates cultripes (western spadefoot toad), 343 nucleotides. The record is from the annotation of a GenBank genome assembly. NCBI's taxonomy places the organism in Eukaryota, Metazoa, Chordata, Amphibia, Anura, Pelobatidae.
AGAUUGCACGCGCAGUGCCCCAAAUUUGUUGUGAUCUGUGAGUAAGGUAAACGGUUGUCCAUACAAGUAAGGUUGCAGCUUUUUGAGGGCUCACAGCACCGCCAGGCACUCCUUUUCAAUGGCAGUGUAUCUACUUCCCUGGGCAAAAGAUAAGCCCCGGGUUGCUCGCCGCCAUCUGCUCCGACUUGGCUCAGUACUGCUCCCAAUCCAAACAUAGAAGCGUCUGUAUGGACGAGAAAGCGUUUAGUUGGAUCAGGAGCAGAAAGUACAGGUGAUUUAAUGAGCGCCGUCUUGAGCUGUUGGAAGGCCUGUUCACACUCUGGGGCCCAUACUACUAUCUUGG